RNAcentral lists this ribosomal RNA (291 nucleotides) under uncultured bacterium. RNAcentral describes it as "partial 16S ribosomal RNA". It matches the Rfam family "Bacterial small subunit ribosomal RNA", at positions 334 to 617 of the family's 1533-position model. The record is from RNAcentral.
GGAUCCUACGGGGCGCAGCAGUAGGGAAUCUUCCACAAUGGGCGAAAGCCUGAUGGAGCAACGCCGCGUGGGUGAAGAAGGUCUUCGGAUCGUAAAACCCUGUUGUUAGAGAAGAAAGUGCGUGAGAGUAACUGUUCACGUUUCGACGGUAUCUAACCAGAAAGCCACGGCUAACUACGUGCCAGCAGCCGCGGAAAUACGUAGGUGGCAAGCGUUAUCCGGUUUUAUUGGGCGUAAAGGGAACGCAGGCGUUCUUUUAAGUCUGUUGCGAAAGCCUUCGGCUUAACCGGA